Molecule: ribosomal RNA, 256 nt
Filed under: uncultured bacterium
Lineage: Bacteria
Description: partial 16S ribosomal RNA
Rfam family: Bacterial small subunit ribosomal RNA
Source: RNAcentral
CACGUAGGGUGCGAGCGUUGUCCGGAAUUAUUGGGCGUAAAGAGCUCGUAGGCGGUGUGUCGCGUCGGCCGUGAAAACCUGCAGCUUAACUGUGGGCUUGCGGUCGAUACGGGCAUCACUGGAGUUCGGCAGGGGAGACUGGAAUUCCUGGUGUAGCGGUGAAAUGUGCAGAUAUCAGGAGGAACACCGGUGGCGAAGGCGGGUCUCUGGGCCGAUACUGACGCUGAGGAGCGAAAGCGUGGGGGAGCGAACAGGA